Bos taurus (domestic cattle) is the source of this 671-nucleotide long non-coding RNA. The record is from Ensembl. Lineage: Eukaryota; Metazoa; Chordata; Mammalia; Artiodactyla; Bovidae.
AGUCCACUGGGGAGUAUGCCAGGAAGUGCCGAUGGCCCUAAAGAGCGCAGAGCAGCCCCCAGCUGAUGGCCAGUAGGGAGGGCUUUUGGCAGGGAGAGCCCUGGAAUCUGCCAAGAAGGCUGGUUAUGUGGGCAGAAGCAGCGGUCCAGGGAGAAGACUUGACAGCACCGCGCCCGGUUCAUCUCUCUAUCCAGUUUAUUCCCUGAGACGGUCUGACCCACAGCCGACACUCCGAAAUGGAAAAGACCUUCCAGGCAGUCAGCAUUUGAGCACAUUUCCCGCCUGCGGCCUGUACUGACCUCACCUCAAGUCAAAACUCACAGGAACGCUAGACUUGGAUGAUCCGGGACAUGGAAACUUUCAAUCCUAAAGUGUGCCCCCUCCUCACUGAGACUGGGGCUCCCCAAACUCUUAGAGUGAGAUUGGGCCUGAGCCUGGGGAUGGGGCGUGGGCUGCUACAGUGUUUCUCCUCUUUCUCUUCUUUGCCAGCGGGAGAAAGGCCCCUGGGACUUGUUCUAUAUGGCUGAUGGUGCUUCUUUUUGCUUGCUUGAGUUAAUGGAGAAAAGCUAUACAUGGAUGUCUGCUGGACUAGUUAUGUUUUCCUUGCAAAUACAAAUCUAAAUUGCUCUAGCACAGACAGCUUUAAUGCCUGAGUAAACGCUUGACCCUUG